Molecule: unclassified non-coding RNA, 331 nt
Filed under: uncultured fungus
Lineage: Eukaryota; Fungi
Description: partial contains 5.8S ribosomal RNA, internal transcribed spacer 2, and large subunit ribosomal RNA
Source: RNAcentral
AACGCAUAUUGCGCCCGAGGCUUCGGCCAAGGGCAUGUCUGCCUCAGCGUCGGGUUAAAAUCACACACUCAUUCCCCUGGGAAUAAGUAUGUGGAUCUGGUUGUUCCAGCGUGGUGGCAAGGAUUCAUUCCAAGCCAACUAUACCUGCUGGAUCAGCUGAAGUGCAGAGGCUAACCAAGGACCCGCUAAGGGCCGCAACUGGGUAGGCAAACAGCUUCGGCUGGUACUGCUAUUCUUAGUUGUUGGUCUGGGACCAUGUGUGAGCCCUCAAACAGGAAUUAACCCUAUUUUUCUCGACCUGAGCUCAGGCAAGAACACCCGCUGAACUUAA